AAGCGAGCUUCCCGGUUCGGGCGGGAGGCGCUCUUCUCGGAGUAGCCGGGCCUGCGAAGGGCGCGUUUUCAAAUUGCUGUUCCUCGUCGCUCAGAAACGAUGCCAGCGAUACUGAGGGAGGACCUUCACCCCGGAACUGCUGGUUUGAUGGUCACGAUGAACUGGAAGUCUGAAUCAAGCCGAAGACGGAGGAUGGAUGGAGCAAAGGAGGCCGCUGGCAGGAGAGGCGUUGUGAAGGGAACUGGACCGUCGUCUCAAGAUUUCAGAGGUGGUGCAGAUCUUGGCAACGCCGAAGUCCAUGCUGCAGCUGAAGAAUCAGUUGCUGAAGUGGAAGGACAAAGAAAUACCUAUUAUUUCUGAAGACUUGGCCAACCCUAUAGUUCUAUGAAGUCGAAGGCAACAGGAGUCAAAUUUGAAGCAUGAGAGGAGCCCGCCUCAACUUUUCUGAAAUUAACUCCCAAUGUCGGAUGCGGGAGCAUUCCGCGCAGGCGCAGUCGGGUCUCAGUGCGGACGCGGCACCGCCCCCGAGGGCCCAGGUCCUCAAUUCGGGUUCCGGCCGAAGCCCCGCUCACUCCCCCACCCCGCUAAACGGAUUCGCAGGUCCGUCUCCGCCGCCAGUGGGCCGCGGCCACAAGUGAAGAGUUCAACCCUCACACUUAACACCACGGAGCCUGCACAACUCCGAUUGUCCCCUUCACAAACGUCAAGAAUGCGGUCGCGAGAGGCCGAGCGCCCUGUUCAAGUUUUUCCCACCACUGGAUGGGGCAGAAGCUGGUCUACGUACCCAGGCCCCGACCGCCGAGUCCGAGCCACACCCCCACACCGCGGCUGACCCCGGCCCAUCCGGCAAACGAUCCUUCCGCAGGCUCCGCAAUUCUUGCCACCACG
Non-coding RNA from Sus scrofa (pig), 888 nucleotides. Lineage: Eukaryota; Metazoa; Chordata; Mammalia; Artiodactyla; Suidae. The record is from RefSeq and is a predicted model, not a curated record.